GCGAGGCUUGGCCAUGCUGAGCGCGGCACAUUCCCGGCCGGGGGGGAGGCCGAGCGCAGCCCCUGCCACCGCCAGCUCCGGGGUCCGGCGCGGGGUCCGGCGCAGCGUUACGAGGUGAGGGCCGCGGGGGGAGCCCAGGGGGGGGCCAAGGGAGCCGAGUGCCGUACCGGGGGCUGGUGCCGGUGCCGGUGCCGUUGCCAUGCCGCCGCCGGAGGGUUGCUAAGCUCCGCUCCGAGCCCGCGUGGGCUGCAGCGCUCGGUGCCAAACCCGGCAAUCGCCUCGCGCUGUCGCAGGGGGGGAAGGGAUCCCGGGGGGGGUGAGGGUGUGGGGGACACGUUUGGCCCCCCCCUGGGACAGCCGGCGACACCGGGACCCACACACCCUGGCGGGGCCGUGCCCUGCAUCCCCCCGGCCUGGCGGUGCCACCGGGUGGCUCGGGGGUCCGGGGGGGUGCACGUGCGGCGGUGGCUGCGCCUGUGCGGGCGGGCGCGUGGCUCCGCCGAGGCUCCACCGAAGCGGCAGCACCGGGCCCCCCCUGGCCCCCCAGCACCGGCAGCCUCCGGUUCUCCGGGCUAUGCUGGGUGGCCCGGAACGGGGCGCGGGGCGCCUGCGGAUCUGCGAGCGGACCAAGCUACUGCUGGUGGAGAUCAACACGGUCUCGUGUUGCAGCCCGGCCACCGGCAUGGCCGCGGGGUGCCGGCCCGCGUCCCCCUGGACCUACCGGAGCUUCGCCGGGGAGUACGCGUGAGUAGGGCCAGCGGGGUGGUGGUGGUGGGGGGGGGGGGGGGGUGGGCUCCGUCCCGUGCCCCCAGCCCCUGUGCGCGGCGCCCUUCACGCCCCUCUCUGUCUUGCAGGUACCUGGAGAAGCGUUUGGUGGCGGAGCUGGCCCCCCCUUGGCCCCCCGUGCCCCGCGGUUGCCCCGUUGCCACCCCCUGCCCGCCACAGGACUUCACCUACCGGCCCCCCCCAGGCCACGAGAGCCGGCCCCGGGCCCCCCCAGCCCGCUGUACCCCCGAGGGGUCAGGGUGCAGCUCCCCCCGGGGCCGGCACCCAGCAGCCCCCCCUCGCAACCCAGUGCCGGGGGGCAAGCUGGGCCCCCCCAGCUACGAGACCCACAUGCGGCGGAUGCAGGCGGCCCAUGUGCGCCGGGGGGGGCCGCCCCCCUACAUCUCGCCCCCCGCCUACGACGCACCCCACCGCACCCUUCAGCCCCGGCCACGCAGCGGUCCCUGGGGGCCACGCAGCCCCCCCGCCCCGGCACCAAGGGGCCGUGGGGCUGUGCUGGGGGGCUGGAGCCACACGCUGCCCCGGGCGGCCACCGAGGUUGGGUCCCGGCGGCCCCGUGGGCUGCAGACCCCCCCUGGAGGAGUGGGACCCCCCCGGCACAGCCAGACCUUGCCCCGUGCGGCGGCUAGCCGGGAGCGGGGCCCGGGGCGCAGCGGAGGACGGCGGGGGCAGGGGGGGCACGUCCUCAUCGAUGCCACCCGCGUUGUGGUCCGGGCCCAGUACGUGCCCCCCCCGCAGCGGCAGCAGGUCCGGUACGCCGGGGGGAGCCCUGGGCCCGCCGCCCCCCCGGGCAGCCCCCCUGCGUCCCCCAAAACCCGCACCCCUCCAGCAGCACCCUCGCCCCCCCGCCAGCCG
This 1641-nucleotide long non-coding RNA is filed under the name Anas platyrhynchos (mallard). Its description in RNAcentral is "lncRNA (ENSAPLG00020014088.1)". Lineage: Eukaryota; Metazoa; Chordata; Aves; Anseriformes; Anatidae. The record is from RNAcentral.